UACGGAGGGUGCAAGCGUUGUCCGGAUUUAUUGGGUUUAAAGGGUGCGUAGGCGGCUUUAUAAGUCAGUGUUGAAAUACUACAGCUUAACUGUGGAACUGGCAUUGAUACUGUAGAGCUUGAGUUCAGUUGAGGUAGGCGGAAUUGAUGGUGUAGCGGUGAAAUGCUUAGAUAUCAUCAAGAACAUCUAUUGCGAAGGCAGCUUGCUAAGCUGAAACUGACGCUGAGGCACGAAAGCGUGGGGAUCGAACAGG
Molecule: ribosomal RNA, 253 nt
Filed under: uncultured bacterium
Lineage: Bacteria
Description: partial 16S ribosomal RNA
Rfam family: Bacterial small subunit ribosomal RNA
Source: RNAcentral